GAGAAUGACCAGCACUCUAUGGAGUUUGGGCCACUUACAAAUAUUUUUGUGUCUCAAUGAAAGUUUACAUAUAAUAAAGUUUGAUAUCCCUACUUUCAUAUAAAAAAAGAAUUUUUAAUUUAUUCCUCCCAGUUUCUGAGAAAAACAGUUUUGUGUAAAAGGUUAGGUUAGGUUUGGUAAGUAGGUUUUAUUAGGUAAAGUAAAGUAGGUAGUAGUUUCCACAUAUCACCAGGACGAUUUUAGUGCUGCCUAUAUGGUGCAAGUACAUAGUUAUUCCCAAUGAAUCACUAUUUGAAGAUGUACAAGCAUAUACGGAGCUUAAUACGAAGGAAAUAUAGUUCUCAACUCGACGUACAAGACAACGCGCAACGGUCAACGAUAUGGGAUUAAAAUAUCUAAAUUCGAACCACCCUGAAAACUGCAAUCAAAGAGUAUGUGAACACUACGACUGCAAUUAUCGAAAUUGACAGAAAGCAAAAACCAUAGACCUGCAACUAGCACUUAUCGAGUUGAUUCGAUUCGAUCAAGAU
Maniola jurtina (meadow brown) is the source of this 530-nucleotide long non-coding RNA. RefSeq lists it as uncharacterized. The transcript has 2 exons. The record is from RefSeq and is a predicted model, not a curated record. Lineage: Eukaryota; Metazoa; Arthropoda; Insecta; Lepidoptera; Nymphalidae.